ACGUUAAUUCCACGUAAGCAAAAUCGUCGUAAAGUACACGUAAACAAAACACUCGUUAAUUCCACGUAAGCAAAAUCGUCGUAAAGACCACGUAAACGGAUUUAUACAUAAACCCGUUAAUUCCACGUAAGUAAAAAUCGUCGUAAAUAUUUCGUAGUGUACAAACUUGAAAAAAAAAAGAAAAGGAGAAAAAUACCAGAUUAACAUGUGGCAAGACUUCCAGCAAU
RNAcentral lists this long non-coding RNA (227 nucleotides) under Brassica napus (rape). RNAcentral describes it as "long non-coding RNA (BNAP_LNC009660)". The record is from RNAcentral. Lineage: Eukaryota; Viridiplantae; Streptophyta; Magnoliopsida; Brassicales; Brassicaceae.